This 253-nucleotide ribosomal RNA is filed under the name uncultured bacterium. RNAcentral describes it as "partial 16S ribosomal RNA". It matches the Rfam family "Bacterial small subunit ribosomal RNA", at positions 524 to 776 of the family's 1533-position model. The record is from RNAcentral.
UACGAAGGGGGCUAGCGUUGUUCGGAUUAACUGGGCGUAAAGGGCGCGUAGGCGGGUCUUUAAGUCAGGGGUGAAAUCCCAAGGCUCAACCUUGGAACUGCCUUUGAUACUGGAGAUCUUGAGUCCGGGAGAGGUGAGUGGAACUGCGAGUGUAGAGGUGAAAUUCGUAGAUAUUCGCAAGAACACCAGUGGCGAAGGCGGCUCACUGGCCCGGUACUGACGCUGAGGCGCGAAAGCGUGGGGAGCAAACAGG